RNAcentral lists this non-coding RNA (175 nucleotides) under Alphaproteobacteria bacterium. RNAcentral's name for it is "6S RNA". It matches the Rfam family "6S / SsrS RNA". From Rfam's summary of the family: E. coli 6S RNA was the first non coding RNA to be sequenced, but its function was unknown until recently. The record is from RNAcentral. Lineage: Bacteria; Pseudomonadati; Pseudomonadota; Alphaproteobacteria.
AGCGGGCUGCGGGGUGCGUGAUACGGCUUUAUCCCGGAGGUCGAUAAUCUUUCGUUAGGGAGCUGUCCCUGUGCAGGAUUGACCGGUUCGCCGGGGGAUCCCGCAUAUAUGGCGCCCACCUGUUGAAACAGGACCACGGCGGAUACCAUACGUACACGGCCUUCGCGGCACCUUU